UAAGGUUACUUGUUUUAUAGUUUUAUGAAAUAACCCCUUGAUUCAGGCUUUUGAUACAUUAAGAAUUUUUAUAACGCACGAUAUGUGCAAGGAGGUUUCAUAUUAUGAAACAAGGUACUGUUAAAUGGUUCAACGCUGAUAAAGGUUACGGUUUUAUCACUACUGAAGACGGUGACGUAUUCGUUCACUUCUCAGCUAUCAACAAAGAAGGUUUCAAGACUCUAGAAGAAGGCGAAAAGGUUACAUUGGACGUUGAAGACGGCGACCGUGGACCACAAGCUGCUAACGUUACUCCUGCAUAAGGAUAACCUCUUAGUUAACUUUUAGUUUAAAAAGAGAUCAAAAACACCCGAGAUUUUCUCGGGUGUUUUUUU
This 374-nucleotide small RNA is filed under the name Apilactobacillus kunkeei. RNAcentral's name for it is "cspA". It matches the Rfam family "cspA thermoregulator". The record is from RNAcentral. Lineage: Bacteria; Bacillati; Bacillota; Bacilli; Lactobacillales; Lactobacillaceae.